CCCCUAGAUGUUCUGGGCCGCACGCGCGCUACACUGAACAGUUCAACAAGUCUUAACCUUGGCCGAUAGGUCUGGGUAAUCUUUGAACGCUGUUCGUGAUUGGGAUAGACCUUUGCAAUUAUGGGUCUUCAACGAGGAAUUCCUAGUAAACGCAAGUCAUCAGCUUGCAUUGAUUACGUCCCUGCCCUUUGUACACACCGCCCGUCGCACCUACCGAUUGAAUGGUCCGGUGAAUAAUUCGGACUGCAGCUUUGAACAGUCCCUGUUCUCGGCUUGCGGAAAGUUUAGUGAACCUUAUCACUUAGAGGAAGGAGAANUCGUAACA
RNAcentral lists this ribosomal RNA (325 nucleotides) under uncultured eukaryote. RNAcentral's name for it is "partial 18S ribosomal RNA". It matches the Rfam family "Eukaryotic small subunit ribosomal RNA", at positions 1470 to 1796 of the family's 1831-position model. The record is from RNAcentral.